Molecule: ribosomal RNA, 519 nt
Filed under: uncultured bacterium
Lineage: Bacteria
Description: bacterial SSU rRNA
Rfam family: Bacterial small subunit ribosomal RNA
Source: RNAcentral
GGGAACAUGCCUUUCGGUAAGGAACAACGCCUGGAAACGGGUGCUAAUACCUUAUACGCCCUCAGGGGGAAAGAUUUAUCGCCGAGAGAUUGGCCCGCGUUAGAUUAGCUAGUUGGUGAGGUAAUGGCUCACCAAGGCUACGAUCUAUAGCUGGUUUGAGAGGAUGAUCAGCCACACUGGGACUGAGACACGGCCCAGACUCCUACGGGAGGCAGCAGUGGGGAAUAUUGGACAAUGGGGGCAACCCUGAUCCAGCGAUGCCGCGUGAGUGAUGAAGGCCUUAGGGUUGUAAAACUCUUUCAGGUGGGAAGAUAAUGACGGUACCACCAGAAGAAGCUCCGGCUAACUCCGUGCCAGCAGCCGCGGUAAUACGGAGGGAGCUAGCGUUGUUCGGAAUUACUGGGCGUAAAGCGCGCGUAGGCGGCUUANCAAGUUGGGGGUGAAAUCCCGGGGCUUAACCUCGGAACUGCCUCCAAAACUGCUGAGCUAGAAUCCUGGAGAGGUGAGCGGAAUUCCUAG